RNAcentral lists this ribosomal RNA (492 nucleotides) under uncultured bacterium. Its description in RNAcentral is "partial 16S ribosomal RNA". It matches the Rfam family "Bacterial small subunit ribosomal RNA", at positions 29 to 507 of the family's 1533-position model. The record is from RNAcentral.
AGUGAACGCUGGCGGUAGGCCUAACACAUGCAAGUCGAACGGCAGCACAGUAAGGGCUUGCUCUUACGGGUGGCGAGUGGCGGACGGGUGAGGAAUACAUCGGAAUCUACUUUUUCGUGGGGGAUAACGUAGGGAAACUUACGCUAAUACCGCAUACGACCUACGGGUGAAAGCAGGGGAUCUUCGGACCUUGCGCGAUUGAAUGAGCCGAUGUCGGAUUAGCUAGUUGGCGGGGUAAAGGCCCACCAAGGCGACGAUCCGUAGCUGGUCUGAGAGGAUGAUCAGCCACACUGGAACUGAGACACGGUCCAGACUCCUACGGGAGGCAGCAGUGGGGAAUAUUGGACAAUGGGCGCAAGCCUGAUCCAGCCAUACCGCGUGGGUGAAGAAGGCCUUCGGGUUGUAAAGCCCUUUUGUUGGGAAAGAAAAGCAGCAGAUUAAUACCCCGCUGUUCUGACGGUACCCAAAGAAUAAGCACCGGCUAACUUCGUG